Molecule: ribosomal RNA, 265 nt
Filed under: uncultured archaeon
Lineage: Archaea
Description: partial 16S ribosomal RNA
Rfam family: Archaeal small subunit ribosomal RNA
Source: RNAcentral
ACACGUCUACAUUAGAUACCCCUGUAGUCCCAGCCGUAAACUAUGCGCGUUAGGUGUAUCGGUGACCACGAGUUACCGAGGUGCCGAAGGGAAACCGUGAAACGUGCCGCCUGGGAAGUACGGUCGCAAGGCUGAAACUUAAAGGAAUUGGCGGGGGAGCACCACAACAGGUGGAGCCUGCGGUUUAAUUGGACUCAACGCCGGGAAGCUCACCGGAUAGGACAGCAGAAUGAUUGCCGGGCUGAAGACCCUGCAUGACUAGCUG